AACUAUAACGGUCCUAAGGUAGCGAAAUUCCUUGUCAGGUAAGUUCUGACCCGCACGAAUGGCGUAAUGAUUUGGGCACUGUCUCGACAGCCCGCCCGGCGAAAUUGUAGUACUGGUGAAGAUGCCAGUUACCCGCAACUAGACGGAAAGACCCCAUGGAGCUUUACUGCAGUUUAAUACUGGGAAUCGGUAAUUCAUGUACAGGAUAGGUGGGAGACUGGGAAGCAUGGCCGUCAGGUCGUGUGGAGUCACCGGUGGGAUACCACUCUUGGAUUGCUGGUUUCCUAACCUGCGGCCCUGAAUCGGGUCGGGGGACACUGUUAGACGGGCAGUUUGACUGGGGCGGUCGCCUCCAAAAGAGUAACGGAGGCGCUCAAAGGUUCGCUCAGCAUGGACGGAAACCAUGCCAAAGAGUGCAAACGCAAAAGCGAGCCUAACUGCGAGACUGACGGGUCGAGCAGUAACGAAAGUUGGAGUUAGUGAUCCGGUGGUAUGUGAGUGGAAAUGCCAUCGCUCAACGGAUAAAAGUUACCCUGGGGAUAACAGGCUGAUCUCCCCCAAGAGUCCACAUCGACGGGGAGGUUUGGCACCUCGAUGUCGGCUCAUCGCAUCCUGGGGCUGAAUUCGGUCCCAAGGGUUUGGCUGUUCGCCAAUUAAAGCGGCACGCGAGCUGGGUUCAGAACGUCGUGAGACAGUUCGGUCCCUAUCUGUUGCGGGCGUAAGAGAUUUGAAGGGAGCUGUCCUUAGUACGAGAGGACCGGGAUGGACGUACCUCUGGUGCACCAGUUGUCCUGCCAAGGGCAUAGCUGGGUAGCUAUGUACGGACGAGAUAAACGCUGAAAGCAUCUAAGCGUGAAACUCUCCCUAAGAUGAGAUCUCUCAUCCUUUAUGGAGUAAGGGCCCAGAAAGACGAUCUGGUUGAUAGGCCGGAGGUGGAAGUACAGCAAUGUAUGCAGCUGACCGGUACUAAUAGCCCGAGGGCUUGACCUA
This 990-nucleotide ribosomal RNA is filed under the name human gut metagenome. Its description in RNAcentral is "bacterial LSU rRNA". It matches the Rfam family "Bacterial large subunit ribosomal RNA", at positions 1938 to 2925 of the family's 2925-position model. The record is from RNAcentral.